ACGCUCGACACCUACGGGGAGGCAGCAGUAGGGAAUCUUCCACAAUGGACGCAAGUCUGAUGGAGCAACGCCGCGUGAGUGAAGAAGGUUUUCGGAUCGUAAAGCUCUGUUGUUGGUGAAGAAGGAUAGAGGUAGUAACUGGCCUUUUAUUUGACGGUAAUCAACCAGAAAGUCACGGCUAACUACGUGCCACAGCCGCGGUAAUCUGAGCGGGCUGCAAGGC
This 223-nucleotide ribosomal RNA is filed under the name uncultured bacterium. RNAcentral describes it as "partial 16S ribosomal RNA". It matches the Rfam family "Bacterial small subunit ribosomal RNA", at positions 328 to 535 of the family's 1533-position model. The record is from RNAcentral.